UGCCAGCAGCCGCGGUAAUACGGAGGGUGCGAGCGUUGUCCGGAUUUAUUGGGUUUAAAGGGUGCGUAGGCGGGCCUUUAAGUCAGUGGUGAAAGCCCAUCGCUCAACGAUGGAAUUGCCAUUGAUACUGGAGGCCUUGAGUUCAGUUGAGGUAGGCGGAAUUUAUGGUGUAGCGGUGAAAUGCAUAGAUACCAUAAAGAACACCGAUUGCGAAGGCAGCUUACUGGGCUUGAACUGACGCUGAGGCACGAAAGCGUGGGGAUCGAACAGGAUUAGAUA
RNAcentral lists this ribosomal RNA (279 nucleotides) under uncultured bacterium. RNAcentral's name for it is "partial 16S ribosomal RNA". It matches the Rfam family "Bacterial small subunit ribosomal RNA", at positions 506 to 784 of the family's 1533-position model. The record is from RNAcentral.